This 814-nucleotide ribosomal RNA is filed under the name uncultured bacterium. Its description in RNAcentral is "bacterial SSU rRNA". It matches the Rfam family "Bacterial small subunit ribosomal RNA", at positions 76 to 879 of the family's 1533-position model. The record is from RNAcentral.
CUCUUCGGGGAUGAUUAAACCGGCGCACGGGUGAGUAACACGUGAGUGACCUGCCUUUUAGACUGGAACAACUUACCGAAAGGUGAGCUAAUGCCGGAUGAGUUAUAUAAGUGCAUGUUUAUAUAGGAAAAGUUGGGGAGACCUGACGCUGAAAGAUGGACUCGCGUCCCAUUAGCUAGUUGGUAGGGUAAUGGCCUACCAAGGCGACGAUGGGUAGCCGGCCUGAGAGGGUGGCCGGCCACACUGGGACUGAGACACGGCCCAGACUCCUACGGGAGGCAGCAGUGGGAAAUUUUGCGCAAUGCUCGUAAGAGUGACGCAGCGACGCCGCUUGAAUGACGAAGGCCUUCGGGUCGUAAAGUUCUUUCGACAGGGAAGAAAAUGCCUAUAAGUAACUGUGUAUGUAUUGACGGUACCUGUAUAAGCAGCCCCGGCUAACUCCGUGCCAGCAGCCGCGGUAAUACGGAGGGGGCGAGCGUUGUUCGGAGUGACUGGGCGUAAAGAGCACGUAGGCGGUGUUGUAAGUCAUUAGUCAAAGACUAGAGCUCAACUUUAGUAAGGCUAGUGAUACUAUAAUACUAGAGUAUCAGAGAGGAUUGCAGAAUUCCUGGUGUAGCGGUGAAAUGCGUAGAUAUCAGGAGGAAUACCGUUAGCGAAGGCGGCAAUCUGGCUGGAAACUGACGCUGAGGUGCGAAAGCGUGGGUAGCAAACAGGAUUAGAUACCCUGGUAGUCCACGCUGUAAACGAUGGAUGCUAGGUGUUGGGCUUCUAAGUUCAGUGCCGCAGCAAACGCGAUAAGCAUCCCGCCUGGGGA